UGAGGUUCUGUUAAAAUGGCGGAAUUUUCCUGAGCAUUAUACGGACAAAAGUAAACAUUGAGGAAAGUGUCACGUUUUCAAGUUUUACUGCAGGUGCUGUAAUGGACUGAUGUAGUUACUGUUCCUGUUUCCCUUGUAUCACGUCCCCCUAUGUUGAUUCUGUUUCCGUGCACCGUCCAACAAUGACGUCACCACUGUUUCUGCUCAAGCAACUGUAGUGGGAACCAGGCUGUCUCUGCCUCCACUUGAAUGAAUGCUGUUGAGCAGAAGAAAUGAACCAAGUUUAACUUUGUACAGAGAGACAGGGCAGUGUUGCACAUACUGAUAUUUUUAAUGUUUUAGGUAUGAUACUCAAGUACAUGAAAAAAACAUUAAAUUACAGCUGUAUUGUAAAUUAAACAUUUUUACACUUCGUGGCAAAAAAGGAGUGACUGAAGUCCCUGUGUGAGGAACACCACAAAACAAGUGAACACAAGUACAAUGAUGGACUGGACAGGUAUCAGCUUAACAAACUGAUGAAAUGCAACAAGUCUCACUCAGCACCUAUAAGGGUGUGUGCACAGAGAAAGCAGGUUACCAGCGCGCUGGUUUCCAGCGCCAACCCGCGCCGGGAACCAGCACGAUAGGGUGUUCACAGAGGACGCAGGUAACCAGUUUCGACCCGCUCGGUGAGCGACACAGACAGAGGCAGUAUCUAUCAUCAGUGUACAAGAUGUUGAGCUCAUCGUCUGACGAUGACUUCAUGCUGCUUGAUAGUGUUCAUACAAAAGUCAAGAGAAAAAGAAGAGCAGUACAAGAAAUAAACUACAAGAGAGAAGAGUUUGGAGAAUAUCAUCAUCUUUUCAGUGAUCUGAAAAGGGACAACGCAAGAUUUUUUGAAUACACAAGGAUGACACAAGAGACAUUCAACUACAUUCUCAAGAAAGUUGAACAUCGUCUUGUGAAGACAUGGUGUAAUUGGCAUGAGCAACCCAUUCAACCUGAAGAAAGACUUGUCAUUACUAUCAGAUGUAAUGGAAAGGCCUCGCAGGAAUCCCCGGCCCCCUGGUGCCCUCAGUGACUACCUGACUGUGGUGGAGCCUGAGGAGAAAAGUAUUUAUGUGGAAGAAAGCAUUGGGGAGCAGCAGCAGCAACAGCAGCAGCAGCAGCAGCAGCAGCAGCAGCAGCAGCAGCAGCAACAGGAGGAGAAACAAGAGAAGCAGAUGGAAGCCAAAGACACCAGUCAAACAGAAGUGGACAGAAAGUUCCUCCUGUCCCAACCAUACAAAUGCAGGGAGUGCAAAGCUUGUUACCGCAGCCGAGUUGCUUUGCUUCGUCAUGCUGUCAAGCAUAGUGGAGAGAAACCAUUUGUGUGUUGUGAGUGUGGGCGUGGCCUCUCCAGCCAGUGUGCCCUCACUGAGCACAUGAACAUCCACACCAACAACAGGCCUCACAGGUGUGAGGAGUGUGGCCUGGAGAGCCGGCAGCUGAGUGUUCACCUGCGGCACAUGCUAACCCACCAGGCCCAGCCGCAGCACAAGUGUUCAGUCUGCUCCAGGUCAUUCAAGCAAAAUGAGUACUUGAAGAAGCACAUGCGCAAACACACAGGGGAGAAGCCAUUUGUGUGUGAGUUGUGCAGUAAAUCAUUCACAUGCAAGAGUGAGCUGAAUCGCCACAGCAAGCGCCACUCCUCUGAGAGACCCCACUCUUGUGCUGACUGCGGCAAAAGUUUCAAGAUGAGGCACAACCUGCACAAGCACCUAAGGGCACACGCUGGGACACAGCAGUGGAAGUGCCUCAUGUGCUCAGCAGUCUUCUCCAAACUCAAGCUGCUAGAGGAACACAAGAGGUCACAUCUAGAGACAGUGCAGCAGCUGCAGAUCAGCAGGCCAGAUGACAGUGUGCUGGUCAUUUCAGCUGAAGGGGAUGACCGCCGCAAGCUGCCAACCGUCCACACCAUCAUGGUUCCCAAAGAGAGUCUCAUUGCUGAGAACAGUGAUGUCAACUCAAAAAAACAUCUAAGGAUAAAUGGCACAAGCUUGCCACUUGAACUGAUCCUCAAGUCUGUUGCAAAAGGAGGGAAUAUUAAGAUUAAGAUCAUAGACAAGCCAGCACAACCCAGGAUACAGUCUUGUGCCACAACUGAGAAUAUUGUUGAGCUUGUGGAUGAAGAUGCCAACAAGCCAGGGGGACUCAGCCUCUCCAAGGAUUCCACUCAUCACCUGCAGGAGACCAGUUCAACACAAGAUAGUGCUAUGCAGAGUGUGAAUCAAGAAGCUGUGAAGGUUGCAAGUGUGUUAAGUGUGCCAGCCAGUAUACAGAGUCAUUGUCUCUCUAAACACUACCACCAGGUCAGUCCAGCCUGCUCAGACUACUGUUGCUGGCUGGCCACCUUUGUCUCAUUCUGCCAGCAACUCUGUCCACCCUUUGAUCCAGAGAUUUGCAAACAUCUAAGCUUCAUGACAACAGCAUUGCAGAAUUGCCUCGUGCAACAACCUGACAGUUCAAAGAUAUCUCAGAUGGGGGAGCUUGGGAGUGCACUGACCUGCCACACACAUACCCAAUACCAGUUCAUCUAUAAGCAGUACAGGGCAGUGCAGGAGAUACUCACCACACACUUUGCUCACUACAUCACUGAUGCUAAUUAGUAGAACUAGAUUCCUGCACUCUGAACUUUUCUUGGAAGUCAUCCUGUGUCUGAGAAUUGACCAGUUGUGAAAAAGAGAAGAACUAAAAUGCAAUAAGGAGUGAGCAUUCUGACACCACAUGUCCAAUGCUCAUGAUCACCACCUAUCCACCAAGAUCAAAGCCACCUCCAUCCUGACUUGCAAAGGCAACAUCCCUACAGGUGCAGACACAGCCAGCAUCAUAGGGGACACAGUGCAUUACAUAACAGCACAGCCUCUACAGAAAAAUGCAACUUUAAGACACACAGGGGGAAGUCACCUUCUUCCGGCGUGCUGUCUUGGUCUCAGGAAGCUGGUUCUCUUCGUCACUGUUGGUGCCUCCAGAACCACGACGCUGCUGAGGGAAGCGCUUCUGAGGGACAAACGAAGUGCUGUUGCUGUCUGUUUUUAUUUUUUAUGCUUUUGGACAUCGUGGAUAUAACUAAGGCUUGUACUCUUAAAUGUUUUUGUUUCCUCAUUAUGACUAUUUUCAAAGGUGAUAAGGGAUGAUUAGUUGGGCUCUUAAGAUGCUUUCUCAAUGACAGUGUAGAAUCAUUCUUAAGCUAUCACUAGAAUAAUGAAAACGUGCUUCAAACCUAAGUCAUCUUAACCCUUUCACUAUGAAGCAUGCAGUGUGGCCCCAGCAGCACAGUACAAGGGACAUGUCACGCCACUUUCAAGUGUACAUCAGCCAUUUAACAUUUUUUGCAUUUUUUUCAAGGAUUAUUUUGCAUGUUUUAUUUCAUUAUAUACCUGAUUUUGAGCAAGAAAGGUAUACAUGCCAUCAUACGUAACAGGGUGUCAAAUAAUUCUGUUCAAAUGACCAUUUUUCUUAGGAUGUUUGACAAAAAACCAAGCAGCUCUCUCAUUCACCCAGUCAUGUGACUUGCCAACCAGUUCAUCACUUGAAGAAAAGUUUGAAGCUAAAAGUGAUGAAUCAAUAAGUGCAAGAUUAAGUCCAUAGAACUGGGAAAGAAAUUGCAGUGGUACAUCAGGACACUUGUCAGAAAACACAUCUGAUAUCAACCUCCAAUCUUCCUCAACCUCCUUCAUCUCAGCCUCAGAGACAUCAGUCUCAUCAUCACUACAGGAAUCAUUAUCAUCACUAUCCAUCCCCACUAUUAUAAGAAAGAUCAUCCAUACUGUAUGGAAGACAGACAAAUUUAUAUCAGCAUCAAAGAUUCACCCCCCACUGCCAGGAUGGGGAGUUGCCAUAUGAGUGGUACUGAGAUUAUUUUUUAUGAUUGACUGACAAGUGAAGGGGGUGGAGCCAAAGAUCUGAGUGACUGAGGCAUGUGAAGGCCACCCAGCUCUGCCUGCACCAGAAAACAGGAUUUCAAACUCUCAAUAUGUACACUGACAUGUGACUGACAUCAUUGUAGUGAAGGGGCUAAGUACAGUCUGCUGAAAGUAGUCCUUAAUUCUCCUUUUCCUUUUACAUAAUUAUUAUGAUAAUAAUUAUGUCCUAUCUCCUUAAAGGUAUUCUCUCUCUCUCCCUAUUCUCAUUUAGUCCCUCCUUCCCAUACCACCAUCACCACCACUCACCUUGAACAGUGCACCAGCCUUCUUGGUGAAGAGGACAGAAGUGCGUCGGUUCACUCCUGAUGGUGAACUGGGCACUGAGGGCGGCUCUGAUUCUGGGGCAUCCUCACUGCUCUCCUUGGCCUGGGUUGCUGCAUCACCUGCCUCACUCUCCACUGACAAUUAAUUAAUAUUAUGUAAUUUUGGUACCACAAUUCAAGGGUACAAGAUGCUGCACACAAAAAAUGGUCCACUUUCUUCAUGCCUCAGAAUUAUUUCUUUUGAAUUUUGUCAUAAAUGCUCAGUACAGAUGUUGGGGAAAUUUUUUUUUAAAUGGUCAUUUUAUUUUCAAUAGUGUUAAGGAAAGGCUACGAGAAACAAAAAAAUAUACACACAAGAAAAAUGUUUAUAAAUGUAUCUUGUUUUCAACACCAAUACUUAGCAUAUCAAAAAGUGAACAAAAAAUGUAAUCACUGGUCACCAAUGUACAGGGAAAAUCACAUGUUAUGUUAGGAAGUGUGGACCUGUAUUCUGAUCACUUGGAAACAAAACAAGAUUCAGGGAACUUACAUUUCUUUGCUGGGGGGCUUGCACAUGGGCCAGAGAGGGUACGUGGUCUCUUUGGGGGUCGACCGGGACCACGCUUCUUGGGUGUUUCAUGAGCUGAGUCUGUUCAAGGGCAUGGAAAUGCAAGAAAUAUAUAGAAAUUACACUUUUAAGAUACAGAAAUUAAAUGAGUGAAUAUACUAUUGACAAGGCAAUGUAGUACAGUGAACCCUUGUUAUAUCAGACUAAUUGGGGGGAAGCCAGUGAUGACAAAGAUGAAGAUCCAGUAAAAGCAGGUGUCGGAUUCCCCUUCACACAUUGUUUCACUUACAAAAGCAAUGUCUACUUACUUGCCCCCUGCUCUCCCUGGCAGUUUCUCUGCUGUCAGUGUCACCCUAUUACCUGUACUCCAUAACUCUAUCCUCAACCAACCAGAAUAGAGCCAAUUGGCAGCCCAACACUCAAUUUGUUAUUGAAAUUUGCCCAAGAAAUUAAUACCACCAUUAGAAAAAAAUACCACUGUUUCACAAAUGUAUAUCUAGCUCAACCCCUCAAGAUAAUGUUAAAAACAUGAAAUAUCCCAAGCAAAAAAUUCCCAAGAUCCCAAGAUGAAGUGUGAAAUCUCAAGAUCUUGGGAAAAAUCCCAAGGUCUGGUCACCUUGAGACUGAGGCAGAUGCAGUGUGUGGGUGCGGUGUGCACUCGCCACUACCACCACAACCAACAUUCUCCUUCCCACCCUCCCUCACUCACUCACUCCCUUACCGCCACUGCCGCUGGCUGGACAUUCAACCUCAUUUACCAACCUUUGUCUGAUAAAUCUGAUGGAUGGUCCAUAGGACAUACAUAUCGAUAGAUGCAAAAUCCGAUAUAACAAGGAUUUACUGUAAUAAAUUACUAGCAUUCUGAAAGCUUUGUUCCAUGUUUGCAGAAAUCAGCCUCAGUCACAGAAUAAAGAAAAGAUAGUACAGAAAUGGCAAUAACAGCAGUAAAUAAAAAGGAGCAGGAUUAGAAGAAAAUGAGAAGGAUUAGAAGAUAAAAAAAAGGAAGAAGAGAUCAAAUAAAGGAAAGAAUUAAUGAAAAGGCUUAAAAUGGAGGAGAAAGGGCUACAAGAGCACCAACAAUCAGCUGUCACCACCACUACAAAGCCUCACCUUCAGGUUUGCUAGCCUUUGCCUCAUCAGCCACAGCAGCAGCACUGCUCUCCUGCUGCUGUGGCUGUGAUUCCUGGGCACUCUUCUGUGAUGGUUUGGUUAUCCGGGUGAAGAAGGAGUCAAUGCGCUUCUGAGUGUGGUCAUCCUGAGGCAAGAAUACAAAAGAAAGGUCACCAAAAAUCAUUUGUUUAAUAUCCUUUUUCUCUUUUAAGUUUGAAUGAAGCCCACCAAAUGUGGGCUUAUUAAAUGUACAAUGUGGAAAAAAAAAAUUAGAUAUGAGCAAAAUGAGGAAGUCUGUGAUAUACUAUUCUGUGCAUGCUGAACCAUGACCUACCUUAGGAGUGUUUUUGCCAAUCUUGCGGUGGUGGAGGCUGCGUGGGGAGGGUGUGGUCAUGGGAGAGAGAGCCAUGCCACUCACCCUACCAGGCCCAGAGGAGAGGCUAGUGGUGUGGGCCAGGUGUGAGGCAGCCAGCUGGGAGGCCAGGGCAGGUGGGGUGCUUGGUCGGCUUGGCUCACCAGGUUCAGCCUCAUCGUCAAUCACCGAACUGUCAUCAAUGUCUGCGAAGGGCAAAGAUUAUUAUGAUUAGUUGCAUAAUGCUGAGACUGUGCUGACAAUGAGGAGCUAUCACCAACCUGGUAAAUGUUUGUGAGUGGUAAAGACUUAAUAUAGUAAAGAGCUUAUAUAAUCUAUUUAUCACCAUUCUCUAAUGCCUUCCUCCAUCCAAGAGUCCUGGAAGAGAAUGGCCACAGUAGAAGAGCCUCCAUCUGCCUAUCCAAAACACUCCCUUCUUGCCUACCUUUCCAAAACAUCCUUUCCUAUUAGAACCUUCAAUGAGAGUGUUCACAUUAGUGUUAGAGAUGCUAAAUAUACCAGAAAUUUUGAUUCCUGAUGUGUUGUUGUGGACUAUACAGAAAGCUUAUAUUCAAGUAUAUCUUAGUAUAUCUUAAUAUAUCUUAAUAUAGAAUAUCGUAAGUAUAUUAAAAAAUCUUAGAUACUAUUUUAAUCAUUCAUUUCAGGUAGAUGACUUAGAAUGUGCUAAUAAAUUAGUUACAAGUUAUAUAUACAGGAUCCUUUUCAUUAUCUGCUAUUUAUUUUUCACAAUUAUCAACCAGUAUAAACAUUAUGUGAAUUUGUUAAGAAUAUGGUAAAAACAAUCAGUACAACUAAGGAGCUAUUUUAGUAUUCUUCACUGUGUAAACUCACACCUUCGUGAAGGUGUGAAGGAUAAAUUGUAAGAUCAAAUUAGCCAAUUUGUUGUAAAAUUAUAUGGGUGCCAGAGCUCCCCACUACCAAGCAUACAAGUGUAUGUCAAAAUAGUUCACUAUGACUCACAAUAUAGAGUAAGCGACACUUGCAAUUAGAACAACCACUGACAUGAGCUUCAUAUUGCACAAACUGGCAGCUUGCCCCUUCUUGGUCUGAAAAAAUCUGCCAGGAGAUAAUAACUACAUGGCAACUUAGGAUAGCCCCUAUGUUUUUGGAAGCAUAGAAUAAUGGAUUUUAGUGUUUGUCAUAUUGACAUAGGGGAAAGUUAUCUUUAGUGACCACUCCUUUCUCUGGCUAACAAGAUGGCUGUGUUUGUUUUAAACAAAGUAUUCCACUGAGGUGAUGUGUGAUGCCUGGAAAAUAUAUAAAUGUAACAAAUUGAAAAAAUAUGCCAUAUAACUAUUACCAAUGAAAAGACUGUGAGUGCAUUGGUGAAGAAAUGUAGCAAUGAGGGAUGCAAGGAUGUGCCUCACCACAAACAUGGUGGUAGCACACCCUAGAAUGUUUUACAUCAUCUUACAUGAUAUCAAAAGACAGUUAAAGCCUCAGCAAAACAACUAAAAAAACAAACAUUUGGGGGUGCACCACCACCAUGUUUGAGGUGAGGCACAUCCUUGCAUCCCUCAUUACUACAUUUCUUCACCAAUGCACUCACAGUCUUUUCAUUGCCAAUAGUUAAGUGGAAUAUUUUUCAAUUUGUUCCACCAUUCUAGUGAAACUCUAACACUCAUACUAAGUAAUCAUGGCUUAUAUAUUUUCCAGGCAUCACACAUCACCUCAGUGGAACACUUUGUUUAAAACAAACACAGCCAAUUUGUUUGCCAAGGAAAGGAGCGGUCACAAAAAGAUAACCUUCCCCUACGUCAAUAUGUCAAACACUGAAUCCAUUACUCUAUGCUUUCAAAAACAUAUGAGGGGCUAACCUAAGUUGCCAUGUAGCUAUUUUCUCCCAGCAGAUUUUUUCAGACCAAGAAGGGGCAAGCUGCCAGUUUGUGCAAUAUGAUGCUCAUGUUGGCGAGAAUUCUAAUCAUGAGUGUUGCUGACUGUAGGUGCUGUGGCUGACUGCAAAUCAGAUUCUAGAGAAACGAGGACAAGAUAAAGAGUGCUAGUACUGUCAGAGAAUGGGUAAAGUUUACAUCCGCAAAGAAUGAACCAAAAAGAACAUGGUUUUGUUUUGGUUCAGUAGAGUCUGUCGCUCCUCACACCUGGCAGCAAUCAGCAGUUUCUUUUUUCUAACAAAUUGGUUUUUGAAUAAAAUUUUGAACUCAUAAUUGCUUCGGUUACCGAACCAUAAUUCAGUUCUCAAAGAAAGUUACUUGAUUUCAAAUACUAAAGACAAAGCAAAAGCUGCUGUUUGUUACUAAUUUAUACUUUUCUAUAAAUAUUUCCAUCAUUUUUAUGUACUUGGAAGAGAGACAAUGGGUAAGACAGUAAUUGAAUCUUUUGAAAUAAGUUAAAUGUAAUCCUGUUGAAGAGGCUCAAUGUAAACAAAGUUUUCAUGACUUGAAUUUGGAAGUAAUCCUGAGCCACCUGUGACUCUCUCAAUGACUCACACCACCAUCACUACUGCAUAACUGCAUUUUCCCAGUAGCUUUUUCUAGCAGCAAGAUGUCUAAGUAUUAUGAUCUUCAUUUUGGUGGCAAGUGGAGUUGCUCCUCUCUGUGUCACUCUGUAAGGCUUCCCACACUAGAUCAAUGACAAAGAGAAACUGCAACUGCACAGUCUAAACAGUAUCUUCUGAUGAGUUCCAUGUCAUUAAAUCAAUUCAAUACGUCCUAUCUGGAUAAAUAAUUUCUGAGCUGGAGAUGUGGACCAGCCAUCUUGGCAGUGGGAGCAUCUGUCAUAAGCCACUACAGGUGGACAUGUGUCUGAGAACAGAUUAAUUCAUUUUACAUUGACUUCUAUGUGGAAAAUAGUUUUGGUUUCAAAAUAUUUCAGAUUUCGAAUGGCUUUCAGGAACAAAUUAAGUUCGAGAACCAAGGCUUCACUGUAUUUAAUCAUAAAAAAAGAAAUAUUAGAUAUGCAUAAACCUGAUAAAUAUCCAUCCUUUGUUGUAUAUAGUUAACAUUACAGAUCCCAUAAAUCAACCUCACAACUAUUUUGUUAGUGCAUUGUAAGGCACAGGAAAUUAUGCAGAAUGAUUGUGCAUGAAAGGAAUUAAUGGAGAGCAGUUGUGGGUACAUGAGGAAUGACACAGUCUUGUAACCUCCAAAGAAGACACCACAUAUCAAUGGUCUCAUACAAAUGUGGGGCAAUUGGCUGUGGUAAGGGAGAGUACUUAUUAUGAAGGAGCCUUGUUUCCAGAUCAAACUGUCCAACCUGUGCAUUUGAUCUGCAUAAAAAUAGGGUAUGAGUACUUUCUUUUUUUGUCAAGGGCCAAUGGGCUGAGAGUGGUGUGAAUGAGUGUGAAUGUGAAAGUUGUGUGCCUUGUCUUGACACUUUUUUUGGGAGACAGCCUUGGUAUAUGUAUGUAUAUUUGUGGAUUCUGGUGAGAAACCUAUGUAUCACUGAGCUGUUGUCAAUGUCAAGGAGAGGCAAAGACAGCAUUGUUUACUCCAUGCAACAGAAUCUGGUUGGGCUUGUGUCAACUGUGAUAAAUAAUCUUAAGAGUUUAUUUCUCAUGAAUAAAUAAUGCUUCAAAGCUAGGAAAAUUUUUAAUUUAAUUUUGGGAAUGUGUAUACCUAUGUAUGUGUGUGUAUGGGUGCCUUGUCUCUUCUAUCAGCCUGAUAGAUGCAUAUAUACUUGAAAUUUUACAAAAUUAUUUAUCUACUGGCACCAGCCUCUAUGAUUCCAUUACAGAGAACAAAGGCCCCCCCAACCUUCUCUACUUGGUUCUGUCAGUUCCUCAUAUAUUUCAGUCCAUCAAAACUUUGUUUUAUGCAAUACUUGGCCAUUCCUGAAAUGGAAAGGAGGAGAGCAAGAAUGAGUGAAUGAGUGAAUAUGAGUGAGUAAAGUGAGGGAGGGAAUGAAUGGUUAGGUAAGUGCAAAAGUAAUGGAAUGAGUUAAUUAAAAAUGUAUUGAUGAGUGUGAGUGAACGAAUAAGCCAGCAAGCAAGAGGAUAAAUGAUUGCAUGUAUGAACAAGUAAGUAAAUGAGAGAAACCUAGGUAUAUGGACAGACAGACAAACCAACAGACAUCAUUUACUCACCUGAAUCCUCCUUCUCUGACUCAUCAUCUGUGUCAUAGUACACAGCAUUGGACUUCUGACUUGCGCUCCCGGACUGACUCAGUGCCAACUUCCUCCUCACGAUGCCAAUCUCACGCCUGGCACAGGAAAGAAGUGGAUUUUCUUAACUGAGAACCCAACAAAUCACCUACGUGGCUUUUUGAAAAGUCCCAAUGAAAGAACAGUGUUUCGGAAUACAGGCCUCCAUGUGCCUACCUGAUGAGCUUCACUCUCUUGAUGCGUGCCACGUGAUGUCUCAGAAGGUUGGCUUUGUCCAGCAGCUCCAGCAGUGCCUUCUCUCGCUCCUCCAGGCUCCAGCACUCAUCCGCAUCUGCUGCUAGCGCCUCAUCCACUGCUCAGAGAGGUGAUGUUGUCAUGAGGGUUUGAUAGUUUCAUUCUAUAUUAAGACUAAAUUUGUCAAGAAUCUUUAUAUUUUUUCUUUACUGUUUGCAUUAGUUUUAAGAUUUUCCACUUUAAAGAUUCGUCAGUGUUGUUAUGAAGGUUUGAUAGUGUUAUGCUAUAUUAAAUUUAUAAUAAUAGUAAUUUUUAUAUUAUUUCUUUACAGUUUGCAUUAGUUUUAAAAUUUUCCACUUCAAGGAGAUAUUUUUUGUUUUAUUUCCUAUUGUUUAAAUAUCUUCAUGUUUUAAACAAAUUAAGCAUCUUUUCAAUUAUUUCUUUAUUUUACUGUUCUGAGUUUUAGUUUUAAAUUAAAUUCUAUGAAUGGACUGUUUACCUUCCUUAAUAAUCUUGUUAUCUGAUAUCUCUGGGAGUGGCUUGGGACGGUGGGGAAGGAGGAGGCCAGUCUCCAUAUCAAAGCCAAUGACCUCCACAUUUCUCCUUAGCUGGCGGAUGAUGGCGCCUCCCUGCAGGGUGGGAAGGAGUGGUAAUGUGUUGAGAGAGAGAGAGAGAGAGAGAGAGAGAGAGAGAGAGAGAGAGAGAGAGAGAGAGAGAGAGAGAGAGAGAGAGAGAGAGAGAGAGAGAGAAGAAUGUGUAUAGGAAGAUAAGAAAAAGAAAAUGGCAUUAAGGAAGAAUUAUACCUAAACAAAUACAACAUAAAUGAAGAAGAAAAGCAUAAAAAAGCAUAAAAAUCAAAACAUACAGUAAAACAACUCAACAAUUCAAUGGGAAUAUCAAAUUCAAUGGGAAUAUUUCUGUGAUACCAAAAUGUGUCCUUGAUGACUAAAACUGUAGACAUGAUGGUGAAUUCUCUAACCAAACAGGCUCCUUUACUCACCUGGUCGCGCAGCUUGACAGCUGUCCGAUAGAAGAUGGUCUCCUUGGCGUUGUAGACCAGGCAAUUCUCAAUCAUGAGCUCAAAGUCACUGGCAAACUGGUCCACAUCCAUGUACUGAUGUGUCUGAGCCUUUUGCCGCAUGGUGGAGAGGUCCAUUGGGUGCUUCACCACGUCCAGGUAGUCGUGCACCUAGCCAAGGAAAUGAUUGGGUUUAUUUAGUCUAAUAUUUUUGUUAUAUAAAUGGCACAGAACAUGAAAGACCAAAGAAAGAAAAGAAAGAAAAGCAAGUUAUACAAGGGAAAGAUUUUGUUUAUAUCUAAUUUUUUUGUAAUAUGAAUAACACAUUAACAAAAUGCUACAAUAACCUGAAAGCUCUUCUAUUGUGACCAUCAACUUUAAAGAAGUUAUUAUAAACAAAUACCAGAGUUCAUUACAUUACAUCAAAAUAUUGUUCAAGAGAUCAAAAAAAUAGUUCAAUAAGACAGAGUGCCAACCAGUCAGCAAGCCAAUCAGUCAAACAGACAGAUACAGACAGCUAUGCCCUCCACCUACCUCCACCAAGUCAACAGGUUCAGCAAAGAUCAUCUGCUGGUCCUUCUCCUGGAUCUGGUCAAUGGUUUGCAGCAGCAGGUGGACAAAGGGAGCCAGCUGCACCUUCUUCUCCUCUGCUUUCCUGCAACAUACAGAGCCAUUUAGUGUGUGUGUGUGUUUUAAGCAGAUAGAAUGAGCACUAAUUGAACCUUUGUGUGUGUGUGUGUGUGUGUGUGUGUGUGUGUGUGUGUGUGUGUGUGUGUGUGUGUGUGUGUGUGUGUGUACUCUGUUUUAUUAUCUUACAUAUUAUAUUGUGAUUUGCAGUAAUUGUUUUGUUUAUAUAAUAACCUGAAGAUGUCAAUAAAAUAACUACAUUUUUAUCAAUCUGUCUGUACUUCCUUUGUACAUUAAAAGGAAUAGGCAUUUCUUUAAUAACAAAAAAAAAAAAAAAAAAAACUGAGCACUUUGCGCUUCAGAAAUAUAGCACAAGAUACAUUGGCAACACUUACGCCUUGACCAAUUCCCUCUUGGUCUUCUCCCUCUUCCUAAUCAGCUCACACAAUAGCCUAGCCCUCUCCAGGUCCUGUCGCAGUCGCUGCCAGUACUUGAUCUCCUCUCUCAGACCCUCCGCCUCCUGGUGUGCAGGAAAGUAAAUGUGAAGUUAAAGGUAAAAACAACACAGGAUACCUACCUACUUAAAGAACUUCAUUAUUAUUAGAACAGUUUUAGGGAAUCUUUUAACUGAAAAGAAUCUAUCAGGGGAUCACAAGACACCUUUAAAAAGAAUAAUAAAGAAUAAUAAUCUGAACAGCUUGUGGUGAAUCAUAACAUCACAGAAUGCCAUCUUACCUAAAAUAAAAUCAAACUCACCAAACCAACACCUUUAUGAAAAUCUGAACAUGAGUUACAUGGAGCUUAAUGUAAGUAAUUUCCUUUUGGUCAAAAUCAAUAGAUCAACUACAAUACUUUUCAUAAAAACUGGAAGGAUGAUCCUCUGCUGGUACAACCUUUACACACAUCAGCUGACAGACCUUUUUGUUAAACAUGAAAAAAAGCUGUAAAUCAUAAGGCAGUAGAGCACCCACACACCAACACUCACAUUCAUGACUCUCUCCUUGUCCUUAACACCGACAGCCUUCUCCUCAACAGGGCGCGAGGUGGUGUUGCUGCGGCGGGCAUGUGAGGUGGUGAGGCGGCGCAGCAGUGGCACACCAUUGCGGGACUGUCGCUUAAGGGUCCAGUAGGCCAGCAAGCGGUGCAUGAACUGGGAGCGCUUCUGCAUGUUGACCAGGGCAGCCAAUUUCUGAAUACUGACACAGUAAUGGUGAGGCAGGGGAGGGUCAGGCAGGACAUACACGGGCAAACUCUCCAUGCUGUGUCCAGGAUUCAAGUUUAUCAUUCGUCACAAUUAAGAGUGACAACAUCUGCAGAGCUACUUGGUACUACAAGCUUUAGUUAUCAGUAAUAGUCACUGGUUUGCUGAAGUAACUUUGAUGUUACAGCACAAUGAAUAAAGUUAGCAAAGUUUCCAUUAA
This is an RNA transcript of Scylla paramamosain (green mud crab), 13597 nucleotides long. It is a transcript of the gene named zinc finger protein OZF-like, with no coding region annotated. The record is from RefSeq and is a predicted model, not a curated record. NCBI's taxonomy places the organism in Eukaryota, Metazoa, Arthropoda, Malacostraca, Decapoda, Portunidae. The transcript has 12 exons.